Molecule: ribosomal RNA, 253 nt
Filed under: uncultured bacterium
Lineage: Bacteria
Description: partial 16S ribosomal RNA
Rfam family: Bacterial small subunit ribosomal RNA
Source: RNAcentral
UACAGAGGGUGCAAGCGUUAAUCGGAAUUACUGGGCGUAAAGCGUGCGUAGACGGUUACAUAAGUCGGGUGUGAAAGCCCCGGGCUCAACCUGGGAAUUGCAUUCGAGACUGCGUAGCUAGGGUGCGGAAGAGGGAAGCGGAAUUUCCGGUGUAGCGGUGAAAUGCGUAGAUAUCGGAAGGAACACCAGUGGCGAAAGCGACUUCCUGGUCCAGCAUCGACGUUCAGGCACGAAAGCGUGGGGAGCAAACAGG